RNAcentral lists this non-coding RNA (25 nucleotides) under Rattus norvegicus (Norway rat). The record is from RNAcentral. Lineage: Eukaryota; Metazoa; Chordata; Mammalia; Rodentia; Muridae.
UUCUAAAAUAGUUGGGAUCCUUGCC